This 3395-nucleotide small RNA is filed under the name Pan troglodytes (chimpanzee). RNAcentral's name for it is "retained intron". The record is from RNAcentral. Lineage: Eukaryota; Metazoa; Chordata; Mammalia; Primates; Hominidae.
ACGCCCCCACCCCUCUGCUCACCCAAGAGGAGCCUCUCCACCGAGCCCUGCAUCCUGCUGCCCUGGCAGCCAGUCCAGCUAGGCACUGGCCCAGUUCACUGUACCUGGACUUACCCACUGGCACCCUCCGGAUCCCCUUAUCAAAGCUGAUGGGGGUCGCUGGGGACCCCCCAGCCUUUUGCUAGAGACUGCACGGCUGUGCGAGCUUGAAAAGAAACAUGAAGGUGGGCUGGCCAGGUGAGAGCUGCUGGCAGGUGGGCCUGGCUGUGGAGGAUAGCCCAGCUCUGGGAGCACCACGGGUGGGAGCCCUCCCUGACGUGGUGCCGGAGGGGACACUACUCAACAUGGUGUUGAGAAGGAUGCACCGGCCCCGAAGCUGCUCCUACCAGCUGCUGCUGGAGCACCAGCGUCCGAGCUGCAUCCAGGGGCUGCGCUGGACACCACUCACCAACAGCGAGGAGUCCCUGGAUUUCAGCGAGAGCCUGGAGCAGGCCUCCACAGAGCGGGUGCUCAGGGCUGGGAGGCAGCUGCAUCGGCAUCUGCUGGCCACCUGCCCAAACCUCAUCCGAGACCGGAAGUACCACCUUAGGCUCUAUCGGCAGUGCUGCUCUGGCCGGGAGCUGGUGGAUGGGAUCUUGGCCCUGGGACUUGGGGUCCAUUCCCGGAGCCAAGUUGUGGGAAUCUGCCAGGUGCUGCUGGAUGAAGGUGCCCUCUGCCAUGUGAAACACGACUGGGCCUUCCAGGACCGAGAUGCCCAAUUCUACCGGUUCCCCGGGCCCGAGCCCGAGCCCGUGGGAACUCAUGAGAUGGAGGAGGAGUUGGCCGAAGCUGUGGCCCUGCUCUCCCAGCGGGGGCCUGACGCCCUGCUCACUGUGGCACUUCGAAAGCCCCCAGGUCAGCGCACGGAUGAAGAGCUGGACCUCAUCUUUGAAGAGCUGCUGCACAUCAAGGCUGUGGCCCACCUCUCCAACUCGGUGAAGCGAGAAUUAGCGGCUGUUCUGCUCUUUGAACCACACAGCAAGGCAGGGACCGUGUUGUUCAGCCAGGGGGACAAGGGCACUUCGUGGUACAUUAUCUGGAAGGGAUCUGUCAACGUGGUGACCCAUGGCAAGGGGCUGGUGACCACCCUGCAUGAGGGAGAUGAUUUUGGACAGCUGGCUCUGGUGAAUGAUGCACCCCGGGCAGCCACCAUCAUCCUGCGAGAAGACAACUGUCAUUUCCUGCGUGUGGACAAGCAGGACUUCAACCGUAUCAUCAAGGAUGUGGAGGCAAAGACCAUGCGGCUGGAAGAACAUGGCAAAGUGGUGCUGGUGCUGGAGAGAGCCUCUCAGGGCGCCGGCCCUUCCCGACCCCCAACCCCAGGCAGGAACCGGUAAUACACCUGCCAUGCUCCCUCUCCACACUGUCCCUCCUUUCAUUUCCCAAUCUUUGCUCCCUUCCCCUGUGUCAUAUCCCUGCCCUCUGGCCACUUGUGGAUGGAGAGGUAUUGAGGGACCAGGAUGUGCCUGCUGAGCCAGUCUCCUCCCUGCCCUAAGGUGGGACAGGGCUGGCUAAUCGAGAAACAUGAUGUAAUUGAUUAUUGAUGUCUGCCCAGGUGUGGAAGUGGGGAGUAGUGGCACCAGUGCCAAAGAUUGGCCAUUUCUGCUAGGUAUACAGUGAUGUCUGGCACCCCAGAGAAGAUCCUAGAGCUUCUGUUGGAGGCCAUGGGACCAGAUUCCAGUGCUCAUGACCCAACAGAGACAUUCCUCAGCGACUUCCUCCUGACCCACAGGGUCUUCAUGCCCAGCGCCCAACUCUGCGCUGCCCUUCUGCACCACUUCCAUGUGGAGCCUGCGGGUGGCAGCGAGCAGGAGCGCAGCACCUACGUCUGCAACAAGAGGCAGCAGAUCUUGCGGCUGGUCAGCCAGUGGGUGGCCCUGUAUGGCUCCAUGCUCCACACUGACCCUGUGGCCACCAGCUUCCUCCAGAAACUCUCAGACCUGGUGGGCAGGGACACCCGACUCAGCAACCUGCUAAGGGAGCAGUGGCCAGAGAGGCGGCGAUGCCACAGGUUGGAGAAUGGCUGUGGGAAUGCAUCUCCUCAGAUGAAGGCCCGGAACUUGCCUGUUUGGCUCCCCAACCAGGACGAGCCCCUUCCUGGCAGCAGCUGUGCCAUCCGAGUUGGGGAUAAAGUCCCCUAUGACAUCUGCCGGCCAGACCACUCAGUGUUGACCCUGCAGCUGCCUGUGACAGCCUCCGUGAGAGAGGUGAUGGCAGCGUUGGCCCAGGAGGAUGGCUGGACCAAGGGGCAGGUGCUGGUGAAGGUCAAUUCUGCAGGUGAUGCCAUUGGCCUGCAGCCAGAUGCCCGUGGUGUGGCCACAUCUCUGGGGCUCAAUGAGCGUCUCUUUGUUGUCAACCCACAGGAAGUGCAUGAGCUGAUCCCACACCCUGACCAGCUGGGGCCCACUGUGGGCUCUGCUGAGGGGCUGGACCUGGUGAGUGCCAAGGACCUGGCAGGCCAGCUGACGGACCACGACUGGAGCCUCUUCAACAGUAUCCACCAGCCUCAAGGAGCAGAAGAAUCUCAAUUCCUUCUUUGCCGUCAUGUUUGGCCUCAGCAACUCGGCCAUCAGCCGCCUAGCCCACACCUGGGAGCGGCUGCCUCACAAAGUCCGGAAGCUGUACUCCGCCCUCGAGAGGCUGCUGGAUCCCUCAUGGAACCACCGGGUGUACCGACUGGCCCUCGCCAAGCUCUCCCCUCCUGUCAUCCCCUUCAUGCCCCUUCUUCUCAAAGACAUGACCUUCAUUCAUGAGGGAAACCACACACUAGUGGAGAAUCUCAUCAACUUUGAGAAGAUGAGAAUGAUGGCCAGAGCCGCGCGGAUGCUGCACCACUGCCGAAGCCACAACCCUGUGCCUCUCUCACCACUCAGAAGCCGAGUUUCCCACCUCCACGAGGACAGCCAGGUGGCGAGGAUUUCCACAUGCUCGGAGCAGUCCCUGAGCACCCGGAGUCCAGCCAGCACCUGGGCUUAUGUCCAGCAGCUGAAGGUCAUUGACAACCAGCGGGAACUCUCCCGCCUCUCCCGAGAGCUGGAGCCAUGAGGAGGGGCUGGGACUGGAGCUGGAGCAGGCACUUGCAGCCAGGAAAGCCAGGGUGUGCCGGGCCAAGAUACUCACAGGCUGGCCACAGCUGGGCAAGGCUCUCCGUGGAGUGGACUCGAGUCCCUGGAGCAGGCAGUGUGGAGGCAGCCAUCCCCUGUGAUGACUGGCAGCUAAGGAGGACCUCGGAGUGGACCUGAGCCAGGAAUAACGAAUGACCCAAGGCCAAGGAAGGGAGGACAGAGAGACCCCAGGAGUGGGUGGAGAGUGGAGUGCGCUGGGACGUUGUGUGCAAUAGAGAGCUCUCCACACCA